This 382-nucleotide ribosomal RNA is filed under the name uncultured bacterium. RNAcentral's name for it is "bacterial SSU rRNA". It matches the Rfam family "Bacterial small subunit ribosomal RNA", at positions 28 to 412 of the family's 1533-position model. The record is from RNAcentral.
GACGAACGCUGGCGGCGUGCUUAACACAUGCAAGUCGAGCGGUAAGGCCCUUUCGGGGGUACACGAGCGGCGAACGGGUGAGUAACACGUGGGUGACCUGCCCUUAGCUCUGGGAUAAGCCUGGGAAACUGGGUCUAAUACCGGAUAUGACUCCAUGACGCAUGUUGUGGGGUGGAAAGCCUUGUGCGGCUAGGGAUGGGCCUGCGGCCUAUCAGCUUGUUGGUGGGGUGAUGGCCUACCAAGGCGACGACGGGUAGCCGGCCUGAGAGGGCGACCGGCCACACUGGGACUGAGACACGGCCCAGACUCCUACGGGAGGCAGCAGUGGGGAAUCUUGCGCAAUGGGCGAAAGCCUGACGCAGCGACGCCGCGUGGGGAUGAC